RNAcentral lists this transfer RNA (74 nucleotides) under Perkinsus olseni. Its description in RNAcentral is "tRNA-Arg". It matches the Rfam family "tRNA". Rfam says of the family: Transfer RNA (tRNA) molecules are approximately 80 nucleotides in length. Their secondary structure includes four short double-helical elements and three loops (D, anti-codon, and T loops). Lineage: Eukaryota; Perkinsozoa; Perkinsida; Perkinsidae. The record is from RNAcentral.
GCUCUGGUGGCUCAAUCGGAUAGAGCGUUGGACUUCUACUCCAAAGGCUGCGGGUUCAAGUCCCGCCCAGAGUA